AGCGAACGCUGGCGGCAGGCUUAACACAUGCAAGUCGAACGGGCGUAGCAAUACGUCAGUGGCAGACGGGUGAGUAACGCGUGGGAACGUACCUUUUGGUUCGGAACAACACAGGGAAACUUGUUCUAAUACCGGAUAAGCCCUUACGGGGAAAGAUUUAUCGCCGAAAGAUCGGCCCGCGUCUGAUUAGCUAGUUGGUGAGGUAACGGCUCACCAAGGCGACGAUCAGUAGCUGGUCUGAGAGGAUGAUCAGCCACAUUGGGACUGAGACACGGCCCAAACUCCUACGGGAGGCAGCAGUGGGGAAUAUUGGACAAUGGGCGCAAGCCUGAUCCAGCCAUGCCGCGUGAGUGAUGAAGGCCCUAGGGUUGUAAAGCUCUUUUGUGCGGGAAGAUAAUGACGGUACCGCAAGAAUAAGCCCCGGCUAACUUCGUG
This 435-nucleotide ribosomal RNA is filed under the name uncultured bacterium. Its description in RNAcentral is "bacterial SSU rRNA". It matches the Rfam family "Bacterial small subunit ribosomal RNA", at positions 29 to 507 of the family's 1533-position model. The record is from RNAcentral.